CAUAACCUCCCUUAAAAAUGGACAACCCUUCCUAAUAAUACCUGCAUACACUUCUGAUAAACCAAAUCAAACCUUAAACUCCUGGAGCCUUCAUGCUCCCCCAAAUCACAACAUCUCCCAAUUAUUUAAAAAUCUACACAAAUCUCAUAUCCAACCAUUUAUAGGUUCAGAGCAACACUAAUAGGAAGAAAGGAAACAUGAUAAAUUAACAAGCGGAAGCUAUAUGAUGACUAUGCCUCAUCCCCAUGUACGCCUAACCUCAACUAUGCAAUCCUGCAACUGGGCAUUUUAAAACGAAGGGCCCAGGGGAAAACAUUUGAAACCGUUAGAGUGAGUGGACAAAAACAUAAAUUUAAUGAAAAUAUUUAUGCUUUCCCAAUUUACAUUUCCAUAGAAAAUAUGCUGCAUGCGACAGCUCAAAAACGCUCAACACAAAAACUGGCAAUUUCAUAACUAGCUCCAGCCAGUCUCCAAAUCUCAAUAAAAUACAGCCUCUCAGGCUAAAAUAAAAUAUGUAUGUAUUACACUCGUCAUAUCCCUUGUAUGAAUUUUCUUGAAACAACAAAGACAAAUAGAAAAUUCACACAAGGCUACGAUGCUUGCGUCUAACGCUCACGUCACACCAUAAUGACAUUUUACCUCAUUAUGGUGGAAAAGACGGUGUAUAAAUAUACGCGCAUAUCCCUUAUAUAAAUUUUAUAUUUAUAUAGGGCUACGACGAUUGAGUCUAACGCUCACGUCGCACCAUAAUGGAAUUUUACAUCAGUAUGGUGGAAAAGCAUGUAUAGCUAGCUAGCAUUCCCUCAUAUACAUAUUAUUCUCAUAAUCAUCCAAAUAUGGAUAUAUAUAUAUAUAUAUAUAUACUCUCCGAAAUUCUCAAUUUCGGUUAUUCUCCAACAAUAAUGAAAAUUGCCAAUUAUCAUAAAAAAACAAUAUGCACACGAUUCCACCGAAAAUCUCAUUUCCGGUAACUUUCCAAAUAACACGAUAGCCAUUAAAAUUGAGAACAUUUACUUCUGAAAAUGACUUCGCGAAAAUAGACAAUUCCACAAAUUGAUAUUCAAUAAAAUCAAUCAUUUAAUGUAGAAUCACCGCAUACAUAUAUUUUAAAACAAAAGUCCACUCACAACUUUAGGCCUAAGCCUGACGUCAAUCCGAGGUCUCUUCUACUCGAGCCUCCUCACGUCC
This 1188-nucleotide long non-coding RNA is filed under the name Fragaria vesca (wild strawberry). RNAcentral's name for it is "long non-coding RNA (FVES_LNC000702)". Lineage: Eukaryota; Viridiplantae; Streptophyta; Magnoliopsida; Rosales; Rosaceae. The record is from RNAcentral.